GGGCCGCACGCGCGCUACACUGACGGAGCCAACGAGUACUAUCCUUGGCCGAGAGGUCCGGGUAAUCUUGUUAAACUCCGUCGUGCUGGGGAUAGAGCAUUGCAAUUAUUGCUCUUCAACGAGGAAUUCCUAGUAAGCGCAAGUCAUCAGCUUGCGUUGAUUACGUCCC
RNAcentral lists this ribosomal RNA (169 nucleotides) under [Candida] boidinii. Its description in RNAcentral is "partial 18S rRNA". It matches the Rfam family "Eukaryotic small subunit ribosomal RNA", at positions 1484 to 1653 of the family's 1831-position model. RNAcentral also lists the same sequence under 1 other name. Lineage: Eukaryota; Fungi; Ascomycota; Pichiomycetes; Pichiales; Pichiaceae. The record is from RNAcentral.